UGAUAUUAUCGUGUAGAUUUAGGGAUUAUGAUGUAGAUUGUGUACGUUUAGGUGAGAUGUGUUUAUCGAUUCAGUAGACGUGUAAUGUGUUCUUCGCAUCUGGUAAAUGUGUUCUGUUAUCGAUGAAACUGAGAUGUAUGAUGAGUUUAUGAUCUAGAUUGUGUAAUUAUUUGUUGUUUAUUUAAAAUGUAUUUUUUAUAUCUAAUCACACAUUAAAAUAAAUAUUAUAAAAUAU
This 235-nucleotide long non-coding RNA is filed under the name Brassica napus (rape). RNAcentral's name for it is "long non-coding RNA (BNAP_LNC000710)". Lineage: Eukaryota; Viridiplantae; Streptophyta; Magnoliopsida; Brassicales; Brassicaceae. The record is from RNAcentral.